GAACUCCUUACAACAAUUUAAUCAAUUCAAUGUUAUGAAAACCCUAGAGUUCUG
RNAcentral lists this non-coding RNA (54 nucleotides) under Tieghemostelium lacteum. Its description in RNAcentral is "Dictyostelium lacteum Class I RNA from Dictyostelium". It matches the Rfam family "Class I RNA from Dictyostelium". Lineage: Eukaryota; Evosea; Eumycetozoa; Dictyosteliales; Raperosteliaceae. The record is from Rfam by way of RNAcentral.